RNAcentral lists this ribosomal RNA (441 nucleotides) under uncultured bacterium. RNAcentral's name for it is "partial 16S ribosomal RNA". It matches the Rfam family "Bacterial small subunit ribosomal RNA", at positions 338 to 795 of the family's 1533-position model. The record is from RNAcentral.
CCUACGGGCGGCAGCAGUGGGGGAUAUUGCACAAUGGGGGGAACCCUGAUGCAGCGACGCCGCGUGGGUGAAGGAGUGCUUCGGCAUGUAAAGCCCUAUCGGCAGGGAAGAAGCAAGACGGUACCUGACUAAGAAGCCCCGGCUAACUACGUGCCAGCAGCCGCGGUAAUACGUAGGGGGCAAGCGUUAUCCGGAUUUACUGGGUGUAAAGGGAGCGUAGACGGCAAGGCAAGCCAGAAGUGAAAGGGCAGGGCUCAACCCUGUACAUGCUUUUGGAACUGUGGUGCUAGAGUGCAGGAGAGGUAAGUGGAAUUCCUAGUGUAGCGGUGAAAUGCGUAGAUAUUAGGAGGAACACCAGUGGCGAAGGCGGCUUACUGGACUGUAACUGACGUUGAGGCUCGAAAGCGUGGGGAGCAAACAGGAUUAGAUACCCGAGUAGUC